RNAcentral lists this ribosomal RNA (499 nucleotides) under uncultured bacterium. Its description in RNAcentral is "bacterial SSU rRNA". It matches the Rfam family "Bacterial small subunit ribosomal RNA", at positions 28 to 523 of the family's 1533-position model. The record is from RNAcentral.
GAUGAACGCUGGCGGCGUGCCUAACACAUGCAAGUCGAGCGCGAUUAAGUGGAGUGAGAACUUCGGUUCAAGUGAAACUUAUGAAAGCGGCGGACGGGUGAGUAACGCGUGGGUAACCUGCCCCAUACAAAGGGAUAGCCACUGGAAACGGUGAUUAAUACCUUAUAAGUCGGUAGUCUCGCAUGAGACAGCCGACAAAGAUUUAUCGGUAUGGGAUGGACCCGCGUCUGAUUAGCUAGUUGGUGAGGUAACGGCUCACCAAGGCGACGAUCAGUAGCCGACCUGAGAGGGUGAUCGGCCACACUGGAACUGAGACACGGUCCAGACUCCUACGGGAGGCAGCAGUGGGGAAUAUUGCACAAUGGGCGCAAGCCUGAUGCAGCAACGCCGCGUGAGUGAUGAAGGCUUUCGGGUCGUAAAACUCUGUCCUAUGGGAAGAAAAAAUAGACGGUACCAUAGGAGGAAGCCCCGGCUAACUACGUGCCAGCAGCCGCGGUAA